UUCCGGUUGAUCCUGCCGGACCUGACUGCUAUCGGAUUGAUAUUAAGCCAUGCGAGUCUUUGUAGUAAUACAAGGCAGACGGCUCAGUAACACGUAGUCAAUCUACCCUAUGGACGGGGAUAACCUCGGGAAACUGAGAAUAAUACCCGACAGAUCAUAAUGCCUGGAAUGGUUUAUGGUUUAAAUGAUUUUUCGCCAUAGGAUGGGACUGCGGUCUAUCAGCUUGUUGGUGAGGUAAUGGCCCACCAAGGCUAUUACAGAUACGGGCUCUGAGAGGAGAAGCCCGGAGAUGGGUACUGAGACACGGACCCAGGUCCUAUGGGGCGCAGCAGGCGAGAAAACUUUGCAAUGUGCGAAAGCACGACAAGGUUAAUCCGAGUGUUUUCUGCUAAAGAAAUCUUUUGUUAGUUCUAAAACCACUAUCGAAUAAGGGGUGGGCAAGUUCUGGUGUCAGCCGCCGCGGUAAAACCAGCACCUCAAGUGGUCAGGAUGAUUAUUGGGCCUAAAGCAUCCGUAGCCGGCUAUGUUAGUUUUCGGUUAAAUCCAUGUGCUCAACAUAUGGGCUGUCGAAAAUACUGCAUAGCUAGGGAGUGGGAGAGGUAGACGGUACUCUGUAGGAAGGGGUAAAAUCCUUUGAUCUAUAGAUGACCAUCAGUGGCGAAGGCGGUCUACCAGAACAUGUCCGACGGUGAGGGAUGAAAGCUGGGGGAGCAAACCGGAUUAGACACCCGGGUAGUCCCAGCUGUAAACUAUGCAAACUCAGUGAUGCAUUGGCUUGUGGCCAGUGCAGUGCCGCAGAGAAGUCGUUAAGUUUGCCGCCUGGGAAGUACGUGCGCAAGUAUGAAACUUAAA
This 852-nucleotide ribosomal RNA is filed under the name uncultured bacterium. RNAcentral describes it as "bacterial SSU rRNA". It matches the Rfam family "Archaeal small subunit ribosomal RNA", at positions 1 to 860 of the family's 1478-position model. The record is from RNAcentral.